GACCGCUCCGGUGGCCUAGUGGUUACAGCAUCUGCCUCCAAUGCCAGAGGUCAUGGGUUUGAUCCCCGGCUGAGUCA
Molecule: non-coding RNA, 77 nt
Organism: Potamilus streckersoni
Lineage: Eukaryota; Metazoa; Mollusca; Bivalvia; Unionida; Unionidae
Source: the annotation of a GenBank genome assembly